This 255-nucleotide long non-coding RNA is filed under the name Lathyrus oleraceus (garden pea). RNAcentral's name for it is "Pisum sativum (pea) long non-coding RNA (PSAT_LNC002387)". The record is from RNAcentral. Lineage: Eukaryota; Viridiplantae; Streptophyta; Magnoliopsida; Fabales; Fabaceae.
UUGAUUACUAAGAAGUUGAGAAAGAAAAAGAAAAAAUUGAAAAAAGAAAGAAAGAAAAGAAAAGUGAAAAAGAAAAGAAAAAAGAAAAUGUUUUGAAAAAGAAAAAAAAGAUCAAAUAUUUUGUGCUAAUAAGUUGUGUUAAAGUGUAACAAUAGAGCAAAGAGAAAGAUGAAUGAAAUUUAUGAAUGCUUGAGAUUAUGAGAAAUGAUCACUCUCAUUUGAUUAGGUAAGUUUUUGUUUCAAUUAACUUGAUAU